GGGGGCGCCUUGGUUUCGACUGGAUGCUUGAGGUGCUGGCUGCAUGUGAUGGUUGAUCGGCUGGCCAUCUAAAAAGCCGUUCAAAACAAUAAAUGCAAACUAUUCUGAAGAAGAAUACGCAUUGGCUGCUUAAUUAGCCGGCCACGUCAGACACCCGACGCCUACUAGGGUGAAAGACGCCAACUUAGUAGGCUGGUGCGAUGCGGGGAGACCGCGCUGACCACGAGACAACCACAGGUCCCUAGCGAGUUGCAAAGCUGUCGUAUGGCGAAGCAAACGCAAAUGCAGCUACAUACGUCUGAACAUGGAGAUGCCGGCAGUGACGGCGUUCAGGACAGGGGUUCGACUCCCCUCGCCUCCACCA
RNAcentral lists this transfer-messenger RNA (364 nucleotides) under Neoakkermansia glycaniphila. Its description in RNAcentral is "Akkermansia glycaniphila Standard tmRNA". It matches the Rfam family "transfer-messenger RNA". From Rfam's summary of the family: Bacterial tmRNA, also known as 10Sa RNA or SsrA, is named for its dual tRNA and mRNA-like properties. Its role is to liberate the mRNA from a stalled ribosome. Lineage: Bacteria; Pseudomonadati; Verrucomicrobiota; Verrucomicrobiia; Verrucomicrobiales; Akkermansiaceae. The record is from Rfam by way of RNAcentral.